UACGGGGGGGGCAAGCGUUGUUCGGAAUUACUGGGCGUAAAGGGCUUGUAGGUGGCCAACUAAGUCAUACGUGAAAUCCCUCGGCUUAACCGGGGAACUGCGUCUGAUACUGGAUGGCUUGAGUUCGGGAGAGGGAUGCGGAAUUCCAGGUGUAGCGGUGAAAUGCGUAGAUAUCUGGAGGAACACCGGUGGCGAAGGCGGCAUCCUGGACCGAUACUGACGCUGAGGAGCGAAAGCCAGGGGAGCAAACGGG
RNAcentral lists this ribosomal RNA (253 nucleotides) under uncultured bacterium. RNAcentral describes it as "partial 16S ribosomal RNA". It matches the Rfam family "Bacterial small subunit ribosomal RNA", at positions 524 to 776 of the family's 1533-position model. The record is from RNAcentral.